This 502-nucleotide ribosomal RNA is filed under the name uncultured bacterium. RNAcentral describes it as "partial 16S ribosomal RNA". It matches the Rfam family "Bacterial small subunit ribosomal RNA", at positions 29 to 523 of the family's 1533-position model. The record is from RNAcentral.
AUUGAACGCUGGCGGCAUGCCUUACACAUGCAAGUCGAACGGCAGCACGGGUGCUUGCACCUGGUGGCGAGUGGCGAACGGGUGAGUAAUACAUCGGAACGUGCCCAGUAGUGGGGGAUAGCCCGGCGAAAGCCGGAUUAAUACCGCAUACGACCUACGGGUGAAAGGGGGGGAUCGCAAGACCUCUCGCUAUUGGAGCGGCCGAUGUCAGAUUAGGUAGUUGGUGGGGUAAAGGCCCACCAAGCCUUCGAUCUGUAGCUGGUCUGAGAGGACGACCAGCCACACUGGGACUGGGACACGGCCCAGACUCCUACGGGAGUCAGCAGUGGGGAAUUUUGGACAAUGGGCGCAAGCCUGAUCCAGCCAUGCCGCGUGCGGGAAGAAGGCCUUCGGGUUGUAAACCGCUUUUGUCAGGGAAGAAACGCUCUGGGCUAAUACCCCGGGGUAAUGACGGUACCUGAAGAAUAAGCACCGGCUAACUACGUGCCAGCAGCCGCCGUAA